This 130-nucleotide small nucleolar RNA is filed under the name Sinocyclocheilus rhinocerous. Its description in RNAcentral is "Small nucleolar RNA SNORA55 (ENSSRHG00000023159.1)". Lineage: Eukaryota; Metazoa; Chordata; Actinopteri; Cypriniformes; Cyprinidae. The record is from RNAcentral.
GCACUACAGCAAACCAUUUCCUGCUCCGUCACAGCUGGAAGUGGGUUAAAACUGUGCAAUAAUAACUCAUAGUGUAUCCAGACAGUAUCCUCAUCUGUUGGAACUUGUCCCUACAAACUAUGAUACAUGA